GCUGGGGGGUUCAAUUAAAUUUUUUAUGAAAAUCACAACCAGUGGUUACCUCGGUACUACAAAGAUCUACGUUUGAAGAUGUGCCUUAUUACGAUGUGCCCUAUUCACAAUAUCAAUCUUCUCCAACUACCUAUAGCCCAUCAUUUGAAGAGAAAGUUCUGCAAAUAUUAGACACGAUAGAAAGCACAAAUUAGAUCUUUCACUCCU
This 207-nucleotide long non-coding RNA is filed under the name Elaeis guineensis (African oil palm). Its description in RNAcentral is "long non-coding RNA (EGUI_LNC024347)". Lineage: Eukaryota; Viridiplantae; Streptophyta; Magnoliopsida; Arecales; Arecaceae. The record is from RNAcentral.